CCUACGGGUGGCUGCAGUGGGGAAUAUUGCACAAUGGGGGAAACCCUGAUGCAGCAACGCCGCGUGAGUGAUGACGGCCUUCGGGUUGUAAAGCUCUGUCUUCAGGGACGAUAAUGACGGUACCUGAGGAGGAAGCCACGGCUAACUACGUGCCAGCAGCCGCGGUAAUACGUAGGUGGCGAGCGUUGUCCGGAUUUACUGGGCGUAAAGGGAGCGUAGGCGGACUUUUAAGUGAGAUGUGAAAUCCCCGCGCUCAACGUGGGAACUGCCUUUGAAACUGGCAAACUGGAGUGUGUGAGAGGAUAGUGGAAUUCCAGGUGUAGGAGUGAAAUCCGUAGAUAUCUGGAGGAACAUCAGUGGCGAAGGCGACUAUCUGGCACAUAACUGACGCUGAGGAGCGAAAGCGUGGGUAGCAAACAGGAUUAGAUACCCCGGUAGUC
Molecule: ribosomal RNA, 440 nt
Filed under: uncultured bacterium
Lineage: Bacteria
Description: partial 16S ribosomal RNA
Rfam family: Bacterial small subunit ribosomal RNA
Source: RNAcentral